UGUGACCUACGGGAGGCAGCAGUAGGGAAUCUUCGGCAAUGGGCGAGAGCCUGACCGAGCAACGCCGCGUGUAUGAAGAAGGCCUUCGGGUUGUAAAAUUCUGUUAUAAGGGAAGAAAGGUGAUAGGAGGAAAUGACUAUCAAUUGACGGUACCUUAUGAGAAAGCCACGGCUAACUACGUGCCAGCAGUCGCGGUAAUACGUAGGUGGCAAGCGUUAUCCGGAAUUAUUGGGCGUAAAGAGCGCGCAGGCGGUUAAUUAAGUCUGAUGUGAACGCCCACGGCUUAACCGUGGAGGGUCAUUGGG
Molecule: ribosomal RNA, 305 nt
Filed under: uncultured bacterium
Lineage: Bacteria
Description: bacterial SSU rRNA
Rfam family: Bacterial small subunit ribosomal RNA
Source: RNAcentral